AAUCUGGUUGAUCCUGCCAGUAGUCAUAUGCUCGUCUCAAAGACUAAGCCAUGCAUGUCUCAGUGCAAGCCGAACUAAGGUGGAACCGCGAAAGGCUCAUUAAAUCAGUUGUCGUUCACAGGAUCGUGCCACACCCUACAUGGAUAACUGUGGUAAUUCUAGAGCUAAUACAUGCCGAUAGAGUCCCGGCAACUCCCCGGGUUCGCCCGGGGCAGGGACGCUUUUAUUAGAUCAAAACCGACACCGCGGGCUUCCGGGUCCGCGGUUUCUCCAGCACUUCGCGUGCACACUGGACGAUUCCGAAUAACUCCGGCCGAUCGCAUCGGACCUUCGCGGUCCGGGCGACGCAUCCUUCAAAUGUCUGCCUUAUCAACUUGCGACGGUCGGGUAUUGGCCUACCGUGGUUGCGACGGGUAACGGGGAAUCAGGGUUCGAUUCCGGAGAGGGAGCCUGAGAAACGGCUACCACAUCCAAGGAAGGCAGCAGGCGCGCAAAUUACCCACUCCCGGCACGGGGAGGUAGUGACGGAAAAUACCGAUGCGGGACUCAACCGAGGCCCCGUGAUCGGAAUGAGCGCCCCGUAAACAAGGCGACGAGGACCCAUUGGAGGGCAAGUCUGGUGCCAGCAGCCGCGGUAAUUCCAGCUCCAACAGCGUAUACUAAUGUUGUUGCGGUUAAAAAGCUCGUAGUCAGAAUUGUGUUCCGCGCCGACGGUUCGACGGGCUCAGUCCCGUUGCACACCGACGCGUUAGCGGAACAUCCGGCCGGUGGCGGUAGCGGCGCCGCCCGCCGGGCUCGCCCGUCCGCUUGCGGACUCGGGACGUUCGGCCCGGCCCCUCGCCGCGCGGAGCCGUUAGCCCACAUCCCGCUUCGGCGGAUCAAGCGCGGCCCGCCGGGGGUCCUCCGGGACCCGGUGUCCGGGUCCCCGCUCGGCAUUCCCGCCGCGGUUCGUCCGCGCGCGGGAGAGCGGGCCCGAUCGGGCUCACCGGCGGCGCGGUGAGGCACCGCGCCUCGCCCGGCCUCGGCCGGGAGACCGUCCGCCAAUCUUCCCGCUGCGGUGCUCUUCAUCGAGUGUCGCUGCGGGCCGGCACACUUACCUUGAACAAAUUAGAGUGCUCAUCGCGAGGCGUUCAAAAAACGUCCGAAAGGGCGUGGCCCGCAUACAGGUGCAUGGGAUAACAGAAUACGACCUCGGCUCCGGGGUUUCGUCGGUUCACCGGGCCCGCCGACGACCCGGAAGCGUCGGACACCCGCCUUCGGGCGGGCACCGGCGUCUGACGGCGCGGCGGGUCUUUGCGGGGUCCGAGGUAAUGAUCGAUAGGGGCGGACGGGGGCAUCCGUAUUGCGACGUUAGAGGUGAAAUUCUUGGAUCGUCGCAAGACGAACAGCUGCGAAGGCGCUUGUCAAGCACGUUCCCGUUGAUCAAGAACGAAAGUCAGAGGUUCGAAGGCGAUCAGAUACCGCCCUAGUUCUGACCGUAAACUAUGCCAGCUAGCGAUCCGCCGACGAUCCCUCCGUUAUGGCUCGGCGGGCCGCUUCCGGGAAACCAAAGCUAACGGGUUCCGGGGGAAGUAUGGUUGCAAAACUGGAACUUAAAGGAAUUGACGGAAGGGCACCACCAGGAGUGGAGCCUGCGGCUUAAUUUGACUCAACACGGGAAACCUCACCAGGCCCGGACACCGGAAGGAUUGACAGAUUGAGAGUUCUUUCUCGAUUCGGUGGGUGGUGGUGCAUGGCCGUUCUUAGUUGGUGGAGUGAUUUGUCUGGUUAAUUCCGAUAACGAACGAGACCCCGUCCUGCUAGUUAGGCGAUCCGGGCGCCUCCCGCUCUGGGGCGGCGGUUCGUUCGCGGGCCGUCGUUCCUGGACGUGGGGCUCUAAGCCCGGGACCCGGUAUCGUGAUCCGCACCCCGUCCGCCUCUCGGGGCGAGACCCCGUCGGGGCGGCCGUCGGCGCGGUUCGCGCCGUUGUCGGCGGUCGUUUACCGGCGGGAGCAGUGGGUCGGAGGGCCCGGUCCUCUCGGGGGCCGGACACGCUCGCUACCGGCGGAAUUUUACUCAGCUUCUUAGAGGGACAAACGGCGCAGUCAGCCGUGCGAUACGGAGCGAUAACAGGUCUGUGAUGCCCUUAGAUGUCCUGGGCGGCACGCGUGCUACAAUGGACGGAUCAGCGUGUUCUACCCUACGUCGAGAGACACCGGUAACCCCCUGAAUCCCGUCCGUGGAAGGGACCGGGGCUUGCAAUUGUUCCCCGCGAACGAGGAAUUCCCAGUAGUCGCGAGUCAUAACCUCGCGGCGAUUAAGUCCCUGCCCUUUGUACACACCGCCCGUCGCUACUACCGAUCGAGCGGUUCGGCGAGGACCUCCUACCGGCUCGCCGGCGAUCCGCUUCGUGCGGGGCCGCCGGUGCAGCAUGCGGUUUUGUGCCGCGGAAAGUCGACCGAGCCCGAUCGUUUAGAGGAAGUAAAAGUCGUAACAAGGUUUCCGUAGGUGAACCUGCGGAAGGAUCAUUG
Ribosomal RNA from Gossypium arboreum, 2510 nucleotides. It matches the Rfam family "Eukaryotic small subunit ribosomal RNA". The record is from Rfam. NCBI's taxonomy places the organism in Eukaryota, Viridiplantae, Streptophyta, Magnoliopsida, Malvales, Malvaceae.